This 689-nucleotide ribosomal RNA is filed under the name Pseudomonas sp. Its description in RNAcentral is "bacterial SSU rRNA". It matches the Rfam family "Bacterial small subunit ribosomal RNA", at positions 23 to 707 of the family's 1533-position model. Lineage: Bacteria; Pseudomonadati; Pseudomonadota; Gammaproteobacteria; Pseudomonadales; Pseudomonadaceae. The record is from RNAcentral.
CUCAGAUUGAACGCUGGCGGCAGGCCUAACACAUGCAAGUCGAGCGGUAGAGAGAAGCUUGCUUCUCUUGAGAGCGGCGGACGGGUGAGUAAUGCCUAGGAAUCUGCCUGGUAGUGGGGGAUAACGUUCGGAAACGGACGCUAAUACCGCAUACGUCCUACGGGAGAAAGCAGGGGACCUUCGGGCCUUGCGCUAUCAGAUGAGCCUAGGUCGGAUUAGCUAGUUGGUGAGGUAAUGGCUCACCAAGGCGACGAUCCGUAACUGGUCUGAGAGGAUGAUCAGUCACACUGGAACUGAGACACGGUCCAGACUCCUACGGGAGGCAGCAGUGGGGAAUAUUGGACAAUGGGCGAAAGCCUGAUCCAGCCAUGCCGCGUGUGUGAAGAAGGUCUUCGGAUUGUAAAGCACUUUAAGUUGGGAGGAAGGGCAGUUACCUAAUACGUGAUUGUUUUGACGUUACCGACAGAAUAAGCACCGGCUAACUCUGUGCCAGCAGCCGCGGUAAUACAGAGGGUGCAAGCGUUAAUCGGAAUUACUGGGCGUAAAGCGCGCGUAGGUGGUUUGUUAAGUUGGAUGUGAAAUCCCCGGGCUCAACCUGGGAACUGCAUUCAAAACUGACUGACUAGAGUGUGGUAGAGGGUGGUGGAAUUUCCUGUGUAGCGGUGAAAUGCGUAGAUAUAGGAAGGAAC